RNAcentral lists this long non-coding RNA (856 nucleotides) under Equus asinus (donkey). RNAcentral describes it as "lncRNA (ENSEASG00005029594.1)". Lineage: Eukaryota; Metazoa; Chordata; Mammalia; Perissodactyla; Equidae. The record is from RNAcentral.
GCUGGGUUCGGUGAGCGUACAGGAGAAACCUGGCGGGACAGCCCCAGGACUACAGCCCACCCGGGGACGCAGGCGAUGCAGUUGAUCCCUUUACAGCAAGUACAGGAUUGCACAGCUGGGGCCAAGGAAUGCCCAGUACUGCCAGGACCACUGGAUGGCAGAAGACUUCACCUAGCCUCUGGCGGUGCGUUGAAACAGAAUUUGAUCCAGAAAUUGCCUCCUUUUAGGCAAUGGACACUUUACUGAAAAAUUGCGUUUCUGGAAAUGUGCUAGGUUCAACGGGCCAGGGUGGCAUCACUUAAAGAGUGUCUGAUGGGCACCACCUACAGGCUAUUGGAGAAGAGCAUGCACCUGAAGCCCAGCUUCACCACUACUGAGAUGCAACCUCAGGUAAAAAAAAGAAAGAAAAAAGAAAAAGUGGCAUUCGGUGGAAAGGAGCAGGCUCAGAGACUCAGAAGCCCUCAUCAGGGCUCCCCACUCUCAGGGAGGCUCCCUUCGCCUUUCUGAGCCGGGCUGUCUCGGCCUGAAAAGGAAGGAGCUGGGCUGAGAUGUGGACUUGCCACCUUCCAAAAGCUACCUGUGCAAUUAACCCCUGACUGUGAGGGCAGCGUUUUAAGCGCCGCUGGGAAGGAGAGCUUCGCCUGGAGCUCCCUGCCUGAGACACCUGGGUGCAGCCAAACAGGUAGAGACCUGCACAUCAUGAGCAAAUAAUAUGGGUAAUCGCUAGGCAAUAAAUAUGACUAAAUGUCUCUGUUGUGUGUGAGCCUUGGGUUAAAUGUUUUCAUAGAAUGGGUGAAGGGUUAGUUGGUAGGGUUGCCAGAUAAAUACUAGAUGCCCAGUUAAAUUUGAAUUUCAG